Molecule: non-coding RNA, 1349 nt
Organism: Ciona savignyi (Pacific transparent sea squirt)
Lineage: Eukaryota; Metazoa; Chordata; Ascidiacea; Phlebobranchia; Cionidae
Source: Rfam
UACCUGGUUGAUCCUGCCAGUAGUCAUAUGCUUGUCUCAAAGAUUAAGCCAUGCAAGUCUAAGUACGAGCUCUCGUACAGUGAAACUGCGAAUGGCUCAUUAAAUCAGUUAUGGUUCAUUUGAUCGUACAGUUUACUUGGAUAACUGUGGUAAUUCUAGAGCUAAUACAUGCGAGAAGCGCCGACCUCGCGGGAGGCGUGCAUUUAUCAGACCAAAAACCGGCCGCGUCUUCGGGCGCGUUCGCCUUGGUGACUCUGGAUAACUUUGCGGAUCGCACGGUCUAGCACCGGCGACGGAUCAUUCAAGUGUCUGCCCUAUCAACUUUCGUCGGUACGGUAUUUGCCUACCGAGGUUCUUACGGGUGACGGGGAAUCAGGGUUCGAUUCCGGAGAGGGAGCCUGAGAAACGGCUACCACAUCCAAGGAAGGCAGCAGGCGCGCAAAUUACCCAUUCCCGACGCGGGGAGGUAGUGACGAAAAAUAACAAUGCAGGACUCGUUCGAGGCCCUGUAAUUGGAAUGAGUACACUUUAAAAGCUUUAACGAGUAUCCAUUGGAGGGCAAGUCUGGUGCCAGCAGCCGCGGUAAUUCCAGCUCCAAAAGUAUAUAUUUAAGUUGUUGCGGUUAAAAAGCUCGUAGUUGGAUUUUGGGCGCAGGCGGCGGGUCCGUCGCAAGGCGUGUACUGGACGUCCUGGCCUUCCCUCCGGUUCUCCGCCGGUGCUCUUGACUGAGUGUCGGCGGCGGCCGGAACGUUUACUUUGAAAAAAUUAGAGUGUUCAAAGCAGGCUCUCGAGCCUGGAUAAUGGUGCAUGGAAUAAUGGAAUAGGACCUCGGUUCUAUUUUGUUGGUUUUCGGAGCGCGAGGUAAUGAUUAAGAGGGACAGACGGGGGCAUUCGUACUGUGCCGUUAGAGGUGAAAUUCUUGGAUCGGCGCAAGACGAACGACUGCGAAAGCAUUUGCCAAGAAUGUUUUCUUUAAUCAAGAGCGAAAGUCAGAGGUUCGAAGACGAUCAGAUACCGUCCUAGUUCUGACUAUAAACGAUGCCAACUAGCGAUCGGGGGGCGUUACAUUGACGACCCCUCCGGCAGCUUACGGGAAACCAAAGUCUUUGGGUUCCGGGGGAAGUAUGGUUGCAAAGCUGAAACUUAAAGGAAUUGACGGAAGGGCACCACCAGGAGUGGAGCCUGCGGCUUAAUUUGACUCAACACGGGAAAUCUCACCCGGCCCGGACACAGUGAGGAUUGACAGAUUGAGAGCUCUUUCUUGAUUCUGUGGGUGGUGGUGCAUGGCCGUUCUUAGUUGGUGGAGCGAUUUGUCUGGUUAAUUCCGAUAACGAACGAGACUCUGGCUU